CAGCAGCCACGGUAAUACGAACCGUGCGAACGUUAUUCGGAAUCACUGGGCUUAAAGCGCGUGUAGGCGGGCCGCCACGUCGGCUGCUGAAAUCCCCCGGCUCAACCGGGGAAGUGGCACCGAUACGAGCGGCCUGGAGGGGGGUAAGGGGGGACUGGAACUUCCGGUGGAGCGGUGAAGUGCGUUGAGAUCGGAAGGAACGCCCGUGGCGAAAGCGACUCUCUGGUCUGUAACUGACGCUGAGGAGCGAAAGCGUGGGGAGCGAACAGGAUUAGAUACCCCGGUAGUCCCUGUCUCUUAU
This 301-nucleotide ribosomal RNA is filed under the name uncultured bacterium. RNAcentral's name for it is "partial 16S ribosomal RNA". It matches the Rfam family "Bacterial small subunit ribosomal RNA", at positions 509 to 807 of the family's 1533-position model. The record is from RNAcentral.